Molecule: RNA transcript, 2638 nt
Organism: Dermacentor silvarum
Lineage: Eukaryota; Metazoa; Arthropoda; Arachnida; Ixodida; Ixodidae
Gene: YME1L
Gene name: ATP-dependent zinc metalloprotease YME1L-like
Exons: 20
Source: RefSeq, a predicted model, not a curated record
AGCAAGGCACCCAGGUUCUUAAGAUGGCGCUGCAGUCAUUCAAUGCCGGUGGUCGCGUCGUCUCCAGAUGAAACCGCACGAUAUUGCCAAAUUUUGCGUAACCUACCGUUAUUUAUUAAGCUGUAUUGUAUAAGGGAUCGUACGUAGCGCCUCUUUGACCGAAAUUUGGAAGAAGCACCCGCAAUGCUUUCCAUGUGCCACGCUGUAGGCCUGCAAGGUCAGGUCCUGUUCCCGCUGAGCCAUGUUGCAUCGUUGGUUGCAAACAAAAGCACCGGCCAUACCAACUGCAGUGCCAAAAAUUACCAGCGGUGGGGGAGGCAAGGCCCUGAGAGUGAUGUCUUGUGCUCUGAAAGCUUUUGCAAUGUUCUUUCCUGGCUUUCCAAGUCCAGUUUGCAGGAUCUUGCAAGACUUUCCUUGACAGAAACACAGUUCAAACAUCUAGCGCUCUCAAGUAUGGGAACUAGACGUGGGCAACAUAGGCCUUCCUGGCAUGUUUCAUGGUGUUCUGCAGACACAUUUUUUGAGAACAAGAAUGGCUUCACGAGGGAGCAGCUCAGGAGGAGUGUUCCUUUGCUGUCUUGUCUGUUCUUGGGCUCAAGCACUUCGUUGUACAGAUUCACAUCAUCGCUGGAAACCAAGCCACUGUACACACCUUACCAAAUUCGAGGGUUCAAGACGAGGAGUAGACAAGCAGGGGAUACCCAUUCAGCCCUUGUGAUGAAGGCUCCCGACUUGAAUGAGCGGUUUUUGGCCCUCAGAACAAGAAAGGACAAGGACAAGCAGAAAGUUCACUCGGAAACUGAGCACAAUGAGCGUCUGAAGACGCUUCUGUCCGAUGAAAACCUGACCCAGGAGGAGCAACAGAGACUUAGGGUUGCCUUUGCUGAGGGCUAUGUGGCGUGCGACCCCAAGGCCCGCACAAGCACCAAGCUCCGAGUGUUCAACAUCUUCCGUGACCUGUUGGGCAUCAUCUUGAUCCUGGCAAUCCUUUUUUCCUUCAUGGGUGAGCUCUCUGGGGGUCCUUUUAGGAGAGUUUUAAUUGGCACAACAAAUGAAGUGAUGCCUGAGGACAUUGAUGUCACUUUUGAUGAUGUCAAGGGGGUUGAUGAGGCCAAGCAAGAACUGCAAGAAAUAGUGGAGUUCCUCAAGAACCCCGAGAAGUUCUCCUCCUUGGGGGGCAAGCUGCCAAAGGGUGUGCUGCUGGUGGGCCCUCCAGGCACUGGCAAGACCCUGUUGGCUCGAGCUGUUGCCGGUGAGGCAAAUGUGCCCUUCUUCCAUGCGGCGGGUCCCGAAUUCGAUGAAAUCCUGGUUGGCCAGGGUGCACGGAGGGUCAGGGAUCUAUUCAGUACAGCAAAGGUGCGAGCCCCUUGUGUGGUGUUCAUUGAUGAAAUAGACUCGGUGGGAGCCAAGAGAACCAACUCUGUGCUGCAUCCAUAUGCAAAUCAGACCAUCAACCAGUUGUUGACUGAAAUGGAUGGUUUCAGGCAAAAUGAAGGCGUGAUCGUCCUUGGUGCUACCAACCGUAGGGAUGACCUUGACAAGGCACUGCUGCGACCUGGCCGCUUUGAUGUCGAAGUCCAGGUACCUGUGCCAGACCUGGUGGGUCGCAAGGAGAUUCUGCAGCUCUACCUCGGCAAGGUCAAGGUUGCUUCAGACGUGUCACUCGACGUCCUAGCACGUGGCACGACAGGCUUCACUGGCGCUGACCUGGAGAAUGUGGUCAACCAGGCAGCACUGAGAGCAGCCAUUGAUGCGGCACCAGCAGUGUCCAUGCGUUACUUAGAAAGUGCGCGAGACAAGGUCCUCAUGGGGCCGGAGCGCAAGUCACGCAUCCCUGAUGAGGAGGCCAACCUGAUCACCGCCUACCACGAGGGUGGCCAUGCCUUGGUGGCGCACUACUCCAAGGAGGCACAUCCGCUGCACAAGGUCACCAUUAUCCCCAGGGGCCCCUCGCUGGGACAUACUGCAUACAUUCCCGAGAAGGAGCACUACCACGUCACCAAGGCCCAGAUGAUGGCAACUAUGGACACACUCAUGGGAGGCAGGGCAGCCGAGGAGCUUGUUUUUGGCUCCGAGAAGAUCACUUCAGGUGCUUCAAGUGACCUGAAGCAGGCAACUGCUCUUGCCACCAACAUGGUCAAGGAGUGGGGCAUGUCUGAAAAGGUUGGUGUGAGAACAUUUGAUGAAGAUCACAGCUCCCUGAUAGUUGUUAAUGAGCUAGCACCAAACACAGCUGAAGUUAUCGACUCGGAGAUAAAGCGGCUCCUGCACGAGUCGUACGAGAGGGCCAAGGCAAUCCUGAAGACUCACCAGAAAGAGCACAAGCUACUGGCAGAGGCACUGCUCAAAUAUGAAACUCUUGAUGCAGAUGACGUCAAGCAGCUGCUGAGUGGGAAGGACCUGUCUCAGAUUCGCAAAAGGCAUUGGAAGCAGUGAGAAAAGUGCUUGGGAUGACUGAGAGGGCGAGAGAAAAAAAAAAGAGCAGCUAUUCUGAAGCAUGUUUACAAGUGCACAGAAUGCAUGGGACUUAAAGAAAGAAGAGUUGGACUUGUUUUUACCAGUGACCUUCUUCAGCUAGAGCAACAUGGACUUGGCAUGUAAAGAAGACUAAAUUUUAAAAUAAAACAAUACUGCAAGU